AUUGAACGCUGGCGGCAGGCCUAACACAUGCAAGUCGAGCGAGCGGCGGACGGGUGAGUAAUGUAUGGGGACUGCCCGAUCGGGGGGGAUAACUACUGGAAACGGUAGCUACUACCGCAUACUAUCGGAUAACCCAUAUGGGAUUAGCUAGUAGGUGAGGUAAUGGCUGACCUAGGCGACGAUCCCUAGCUGGUCUGAGAGGAUGAUCAGCCACACUGGGACUGAGACACGGCCCAGAAUCCUACGGAGGCAGCAGUGGUGAAUAUUGCACAAGGGGCGCAAGCCUGAUGCAGCCAUGCCGCGUGUAUGAAGAAGGCCCUAGGGUUGUAAAGUACUUUCAGUCGGGAGGCGUUACCGACAGAAGAAGCACCGGCUAACUCCGUGACAGCAGCCGCGGUAAUUC
Molecule: ribosomal RNA, 403 nt
Filed under: uncultured bacterium
Lineage: Bacteria
Description: partial 16S ribosomal RNA
Rfam family: Bacterial small subunit ribosomal RNA
Source: RNAcentral